AGAGGCUUAGGCUAAUUCAGACCUAGGGCCUUCAAAGCCCUCAGUGGGAGUUAAAAUCUCUCAGCCUCUG
Molecule: transfer RNA, 70 nt
Filed under: Pseudomonacanthus peroni (pot-bellied leatherjacket)
Lineage: Eukaryota; Metazoa; Chordata; Actinopteri; Tetraodontiformes; Monacanthidae
Description: tRNA-Trp
Rfam family: tRNA
About the family: Transfer RNA (tRNA) molecules are approximately 80 nucleotides in length. Their secondary structure includes four short double-helical elements and three loops (D, anti-codon, and T loops). Further hydrogen bonds mediate the characteristic L-shaped molecular structure. tRNAs have two regions of fundamental functional importance: the anti-codon, which is responsible for specific mRNA codon recognition, and the 3' end, to which the tRNAs corresponding amino acid is attached (by aminoacyl-tRNA synthetases). tRNAs cope with the degeneracy of the genetic code in two manners: having more than one tRNA (with a specific anti-codon) for a particular amino acid; and 'wobble' base-pairing, i.e. permitting non-standard base-pairing at the 3rd anti-codon position.
Source: RNAcentral